CCUACGGGGUGCAGCAGUAGGGAAUCUUCCACAAUGGGCGAAAGCCUGAUGGAGCAACGCCGCGUGGGUGAAGAAGGUCUUCGGAUCGUAAAACCCUGUUGUUAGAGAAGAAAGUGCGUGAGAGUAACUGUUCACGUUUCGACGGUAUCUAACCAGAAAGCCACGGCUAACUACGUGCCAGCAGCCGCGGUAAUACGUAGGUGGAAAGCGUUAUCCGGAUUUAGUGGGCGUAAAGGGAACGCAGGCGGUCUUUUAAGUCUGAUGUGAAAGCCUUCGGCUUAACCGGAGUAGUGCAUUGGAAACUGGGAGACUUGAGUGCAGAAGAGGAGAGUGGAACUCCAUGUGUAGCCGUUA
This 354-nucleotide ribosomal RNA is filed under the name uncultured bacterium. RNAcentral's name for it is "partial 16S ribosomal RNA". It matches the Rfam family "Bacterial small subunit ribosomal RNA", at positions 338 to 684 of the family's 1533-position model. The record is from RNAcentral.